UACGUAGGUGGCGAGCGUUGUCCGGAUUUACUGGGCGUAAAGAGCGCGCAGGCGGUCGUUCAAGUCGCGUGUGAAAGCCCCCGGCUCAACUGGGGAGGGUCACGCGAUACUGAUCGACUCGAAGGCAGGAGAGGGUAGUGGAAUUCCCGGUGUAGUGGUGAAAUGCGUAGAUAUCGGGAGGAACACCAGUGGCGAAGGCGACUACCUGGGACGGUACUGACGCUGAGACGCGAAAGCGUGGGGAGCGAACAGG
Molecule: ribosomal RNA, 253 nt
Filed under: uncultured bacterium
Lineage: Bacteria
Description: partial 16S ribosomal RNA
Rfam family: Bacterial small subunit ribosomal RNA
Source: RNAcentral